UACGAGUGGUGCAAGCGUUAUUCGGAAUCACUGGGCUUAAAGGGCGCGUAGGCGGGCUCCAAAGUCGGUGGUGAAAUCUUUCGGCUCAACCGGAAAACAGCCGCCGAUACUGGGAGUCUCGAGGGAGGUAGGGGUCGAUGGAACUUCAGGUGGAGCGGUGAAAUGCGUAGAUAUCUGAAGGAACGCCGGUGGCGAAAGCGAUCGACUGGACCUCUUCUGACGCUGAGGCGCGAAAGCCAGGGGAGCAAACGGG
RNAcentral lists this ribosomal RNA (253 nucleotides) under uncultured bacterium. RNAcentral's name for it is "partial 16S ribosomal RNA". It matches the Rfam family "Bacterial small subunit ribosomal RNA", at positions 524 to 776 of the family's 1533-position model. The record is from RNAcentral.